RNAcentral lists this ribosomal RNA (598 nucleotides) under uncultured bacterium. RNAcentral describes it as "bacterial SSU rRNA". It matches the Rfam family "Bacterial small subunit ribosomal RNA", at positions 163 to 774 of the family's 1533-position model. The record is from RNAcentral.
CUAAUACCGGAUACGACCACUUCAGGCAUCUGAUGGUGGUGGAAAGUUCCGGCGGUGGAGGAUGAGCUCGCGGCCUAUCAGCUUGUUGGUGGGGUAACGGCCCACCAAGGCUUCGACGGGUAGCCGGCCUGAGAGGGUGACCGGCCACACUGGGACUGAGACACGGCCCAGACUCCUACGGGAGGCAGCAGUGGGGAAUAUUGGACAAUGGGCGAAAGCCUGAUCCAGCAACGCCGCGUGAGGGAUGACGGCCUUCGGGUUGUAAACCUCUUUCAGCGCAGACGAAGCGAAAGUGACGGUAUGCGCAGAAGAAGCACCGGCCAACUACGUGCCAGCAGCCGCGGUAAUACGUAGGGUGCGAGCGUUGUCCGGAAUUAUUGGGCGUAAAGGGCUCGUAGGCGGUUGGUCACGUCAGGAGUGAAAACUCGGGGCUCAACCCCGAGCCUGCUUCUGAUACGGGCCGACUAGAGGUAUGCAGGGGAGAACGGAAUUCCUGGUGUAGCGGUGAAAUGCGCAGAUAUCAGGAGGAACACCGGUGGCGAAGGCGGUUCUCUGGGCAUUACCUGACGCUGAGGAGCGAAAGUGUGGGGAGCGAACA